RNAcentral lists this ribosomal RNA (254 nucleotides) under uncultured bacterium. RNAcentral describes it as "partial 16S ribosomal RNA". It matches the Rfam family "Bacterial small subunit ribosomal RNA", at positions 524 to 776 of the family's 1533-position model. The record is from RNAcentral.
UACGAGGGGGGCAAAUGUUGUUCGGAAUCACUGGGCGUAAAGGGAGCGUAGGCGGGUUUUUAAGUCAGGUGUUUAAUCCCGGGGCCCAACCCCGGACAGGCACUUGAAACUGGGAAUCUUGAAUAGUGGAGAGGUCAGUGGAAUUGGGGGUGUAGCGGUGGAAUGCGUAGGAGAUCCCCAAGAACACCCGUUGCGAAGGCGGCUGACUGGACACAUAUUGACGCUGAGGCUCGAAAGCAUGGGGAGCAAACAGG